GACGAACGCUGGCGGCGUGCUUAACACAUGCAAGUCGAACGGAAAGGCCUGCAGCUUGCUGCGGGUACUCGAGUGGCGAACGGGUGAGUAACACGUGGGUGAUCUGCCUUGCACUUCGGGAUAAGCUUGGGAAACUGGGUCUAAUACCGGAUAGGACAGCUGUUUAGUGUCAGUUGUGGAAAGUUUUUUCGGUGCAAGAUGAGCUCGCGGCCUAUCAGCUUGUUGGUGGGGUAAUGGCCUACCAAGGCGUCGACGGGUAGCCGGCCUGAGAGGGUGUACGGCCACAUUGGGACUGAGAUACGGCCCAGACUCCUACGGGAGGCAGCAGUGGGGAAUAUUGCACAAUGGGCGGAAGCCUGAUGCAGCGACGCCGCGUGGGGGAUGAAGGCCUUCGGGUUGUAAACUCCUUUCGACAGGGACGAAGCGUAAGUGACGGUACCUGUAUAAGAAGCACCGGCUAACUACGUGCCAGCAGCCGCGGUAAUACGUAGGGUGCGAGCGUUGUCCGGAAUUACUGGGCGUAAAGAGCUCGUAGGUGGUUUGUCGCGUCGUCUGUGAAAUUCCGGGGCUUAACUCCGGGCGUGCAGGCGAUACGGGCUGACUUGAGUGCUGUAGGGGAGACUGGAAUUCCUGGUGUAGCGGUGAAAUGCGCAGAUAUCAGGAGGAACACCGAUGGCGAAGGCAGGUCUCUGGGCAGUAACUGACGCUGAGGAGCGAAAGCAUGGGUAGCGAACAGGAUUAGAUACCCUGGUAGUCCAUGCCGUAAACGGUGGGCGCUAGGUGUAGGGGGCUUCCACGUCUUCUGUGCCGUAGCUAACGCAUUAAGCGCCCGCCUGGGGAGUACGGCCGCAAGGCUA
This 857-nucleotide ribosomal RNA is filed under the name uncultured Actinomycetes bacterium. RNAcentral's name for it is "bacterial SSU rRNA". It matches the Rfam family "Bacterial small subunit ribosomal RNA", at positions 28 to 896 of the family's 1533-position model. Lineage: Bacteria; Bacillati; Actinomycetota; Actinomycetes. The record is from RNAcentral.